Molecule: ribosomal RNA, 425 nt
Filed under: bacterium
Lineage: Bacteria
Description: partial 16S ribosomal RNA
Rfam family: Bacterial small subunit ribosomal RNA
Source: RNAcentral
UGGGGAAUAUUGCACAAUGGGCGCAAGCCUGAUGCAGCGACGCCGCGUGAGGGAUGGAGGCCUUCGGGUUGUAAACCUCUUUCGCCAGUGAAGCAGGCCAUCUUCUUUGUGGGGUGGUUGACGGUAGCUGGAUAAGAAGCGCCGGCUAACUACGUGCCAGCAGCCGCGGUAAUACGUAGGGCGCGAGCGUUGUCCGGAAUUAUUGGGCGUAAAGAGCUCGUAGGCGGCUGGUCGCGUCUGUCGUGAAAUCCCCUGGCUUAACUGGGGGCUUGCGGUGGGUACGGGCCGGCUUGAGUUCGGUAGGGGAGACUGGAAUUCCUGGUGUAGCGGUGGAAUGCGCAGAUAUCAGGAGGAACACCGGUGGCGAAGGCGGGUCUCUGGGCCGUUACUGACGCUGAGGAGCGAAAGCGUGGGGAGCGAACAGG